AGUGAACGCUGGCGGUAGGCCUAACACAUGCAAGUCGAACGGCAGCACAGUAAGAGCUUGCUCUUACGGGUGGCGAGUGGCGGACGGGUGAGGAAUACAUCGGAAUCUACUUUUUCGUGGGGGAUAACGUAGGGAAACUUACGCUAAUACCGCAUACGACCUACGGGUGAAAGCAGGGGAUCUUCGGACCUUGCGCGAUUGAAUGAGCCGAUGUCGGAUUAGCUAGUCGGCGGGGUAAAGGCCCACCAAGGCGACGGUCCGUAGCUGGUCUGAGAGGAUGAUCAGCCACACUGGAACUGAGACACGGUCCAGACUCCUACGGGAGGCAGCAGUGGGGAAUAUUGGACAAUGGGCGCAAGCCUGAUCCAGCCAUACCGCGUGGGUGAAGAAGGCCUUCGGGUUGUAAAGCCCUUUUGUUGGGAAAGAAAAGCAGCAGGUUAAUACCCCGCUGUUCUGACGGUACCCAAAGAAUAAGCACCGGCUAACUUCGUG
RNAcentral lists this ribosomal RNA (492 nucleotides) under uncultured bacterium. RNAcentral's name for it is "partial 16S ribosomal RNA". It matches the Rfam family "Bacterial small subunit ribosomal RNA", at positions 29 to 507 of the family's 1533-position model. The record is from RNAcentral.